AACAUUAGCUCAGCUAUUCUAAAUGAUGUAAAUAGAAAACACAUUCGUGCUGGUUGUUUUUGGUUUUGUUUUGUUUGUUUUGUUUUGUUUUGUUUUGUUUUGUUUUGUUUUGUUUUAGAGAUUAAAAAAAAAUCUAACAGAACAGUUUAUUUACUGGCCAAAAGCCAGAGACACUGGCCAGAGGAGCUGUUUAUCAGCUCUCAUUAAUUACUCUGAAAAUACCUUACCAUUCGAUGUCAUGGCCUUAGUCCAGUUUCAUCCAGGCUGAGCCACAUGGGUGCAUGCUCACAGAAAACAACUCUUGGGUCGUGUGUACCAUUGUAGUGAUUUGAAAUGUUAUGAAUGGAUAUUAACAAAAAAAAAGUAUACUCUUUUUGAAUGAUGAGAUUUCUUCUUUUAUUAUUUCUAUAAAGCUAAAGGUAUCAGGCAAUAAGCAGCAAUUUUAAUGUCUCACAUUUCUUGUACGUUAUGUAUAUUUACAUUUUCUGAAAAAAAAUUUAGUUCAUAUGGGCUGUAGUAAACUGGUGUCCUUGUUUCACUGUGCGAAUAAGAGUCAGUGUAAUAUGAAAUAAAUAGCUCUUUGCUAUGUUACUCCACUAACAGCUACACAGAUGUCAUACACUUUAUAUAGACUUCUCAUCUUUCCAAGAAGUCUUGUAUUUUCAUUGUUUUGUAUUACAUAGAAAGAUAUUUUAUAGUCUAUAUGCAAACUAAACUGCCUAUUUUCACAUAAUUUUAUGGGAAAUUAUAUAGUUAGUUACCAUAUGUAGAAUAUUCUCUUAUUUUAUUUUGUCUUUUUUUUUUACCUGUCACAACACUGAUAUAAAUGUUAUUCCAGAAAUGUACAGCAGAAUUAUAGACAUGAAAAACUAUGUACUAUAAUAUAAUAUAAGAUGUAAGAAAAGAUGUAAAUCACAGUGUAUUUCAUUAUCCCACUACAGUCUCUACUAUUUUUGAGAUUUGAUUUCUUUUACAAUGUAACAAUUUAAAAUGAAUAAAUGUAAUAAUUU
RNAcentral lists this long non-coding RNA (1010 nucleotides) under Mus musculus (house mouse). Its description in RNAcentral is "long non-coding RNA chr13:117822312-117823322". The record is from RNAcentral. Lineage: Eukaryota; Metazoa; Chordata; Mammalia; Rodentia; Muridae.